UACAGAGGUCCCGAGCGUUGUUCGGAUUCAUUGGGCGUAAAGGGUGCGUAGGCGGCGGGGUAAGUUUGAUGUGAAAUCCCGGGGCUCAACCCUGGAAUUGCAUUGAAUACUACCUUGCUAGAGUACCGGAGAGGAAACUGGAAUUUACGGUGUAGCAGUGAAAUGCGUAGAGAUCGUAAGGAAGACCAGUGGCGAAGGCGGGUCUCUGGACAGUUCCUGACGCUGAGGCACGAAGGUCAGGGGAGCAAACGGG
This 253-nucleotide ribosomal RNA is filed under the name uncultured bacterium. RNAcentral's name for it is "partial 16S ribosomal RNA". It matches the Rfam family "Bacterial small subunit ribosomal RNA", at positions 524 to 776 of the family's 1533-position model. The record is from RNAcentral.